RNAcentral lists this ribosomal RNA (253 nucleotides) under uncultured bacterium. RNAcentral describes it as "partial 16S ribosomal RNA". It matches the Rfam family "Bacterial small subunit ribosomal RNA", at positions 524 to 776 of the family's 1533-position model. The record is from RNAcentral.
UACGGAGGGUGCAAGCGUUAUCCGGAUUCACUGGGUUUAAAGGGUGCGUAGGCGGGCAGGUAAGUCAGUGGUGAAAUCUCCGGGCUUAACCCGGAAACUGCCGUUGAUACUAUCUGUCUUGAAUAUCGUGGAGGUAAGCGGAAUAUGUCAUGUAGCGGUGAAAUGCUUAGAUAUGACAUAGAACACCCAUUGCGAAGGCAGCUUACUACACGAUCAUUGACGCUGAGGCACGAAAGCGUGGGGAGCAAAACGG